Molecule: ribosomal RNA, 458 nt
Filed under: uncultured bacterium
Lineage: Bacteria
Description: partial 16S ribosomal RNA
Rfam family: Bacterial small subunit ribosomal RNA
Source: RNAcentral
CCUACGGGAGGCAGCAGUGAGGAAUAUUGGUCAAUGGGCGAGAGCCUGAACCAGCCAAGUCGCGUGAGGGAGUACUGCCCUAUGGGUUGUAAACCUCUUUUGUCGGGGAACAAAAGCCGGACGUGUCCGGCUGUGAGAGUACCCGAAGAAAAAACAUCGGCUAACUCCGUGCCCGCAGCCGCGGUAAUAGGGGGGAUGCGGACGUUAUCCGGAUGUAUUUGGUUUAAAGGGUGCGCAGGCGGAUUGUUAAGUCCGCGGUCAAAGCCUGGGGGUAAAACCCAUCCCGCCGUUGAAACUGGCAGUCUAGAGGGGGAGAGAGGUAUGCGGAAUGCGUGGUGUAGCGGUGAAAUGCAGAGAUAUCGCGCAGAACUCCGAUUGCGAAGGCAGCAUUCCGGCGCACAACUGACGCUGAGGCACGAAAGCGUGGGUAUCGAACAGGAUUAGAUACCCUGGUAGUC